AGUUAACGCUGGCGGCGUGCCUAACACAUGCAAGUCGAGCGAAGUAACUGGCGUAGCAAUACGAUAAGUGCUGAGCGGCAGACGGGUGAGUAAUACGUAGACAACCUUCCUCUUUAAGGGGGAUAGCCCACCGAAAGGUGGGGUAAUACCGCGUACGAUCGAGAGUCGGCAUCGAUUCUUGAUGAAACAUCCGCAAGGAUGGUAGAGAGACGGGUCUACGGCCUAUCAGCUAGUUGGUGAGGUAACGGCUCACCAAGGCAAAGACGGGUAACCGGCCUGAAAGGGUGGACGGUCACACUGACACUGAGACACGGGUCAGACACCUACGGGUGGCAGCAGUGAGGAAUCUUGGACAAUGGGGGGCAACCCUGAUCCAGCGACGCCGCGUGAAGGAUGAAGGUCUUCGGAUUGUAAACUUCUUUUCUCUGGGAAUAAUAAAUCGAUAGAAUAUCGAGAUUGAAUGUACCAGA
This 470-nucleotide ribosomal RNA is filed under the name uncultured bacterium. RNAcentral's name for it is "bacterial SSU rRNA". It matches the Rfam family "Bacterial small subunit ribosomal RNA", at positions 29 to 482 of the family's 1533-position model. The record is from RNAcentral.